This is a long non-coding RNA of Hippocampus zosterae (dwarf seahorse), 709 nucleotides long. RefSeq lists it as uncharacterized. Lineage: Eukaryota; Metazoa; Chordata; Actinopteri; Syngnathiformes; Syngnathidae. The record is from RefSeq and is a predicted model, not a curated record. The transcript has 5 exons.
UGCACUACAAUCUACUCUCCGUUACUUUGAUCAAACGGGGGUAGACGGAAGCUCGGUAUUUCCACCAGCUCAGUGGAUCAUCUGCCCUUGAAAUCUGUGCUUCUUCAAGAUCUGCCCGAAUUUAGUGUUUUGUGUUUUCAGCACGCUUGGCUAAGACUGUAAAUUCAAUUCCGAUUGCUUGCCAAACGCCUUUGUGGUUUCCCGGACAGUAGGGGGCGAUAUGAACUGAAAACAUCCAAUUCACCAAGAAGAAGAAUAAGUACAAGCACAAGAACGGUACCACAUCCGGUUCAAUGAGUUCAAGUUUUUCCGCUGUCCACAAGGCCUGUUCUCAGAGGUUGCUCAUUGCACUUGAGGUGCGGGGAGGGGGCCGCGAGUGGAUCGCUCAAACAGAUUCAUUGCGAGUGCGGGCACGUUUGGAAAUGGACGGCUUGAAAGUCAAAAUGAGUCGGAUUACUGGGCCAAAGGCGCAGCUGCCAGACUCGGAGGACAUGCGAAAGGGACGCCACCCUGAACCUACAAAUAGACAAUCACAAAAGCAGAGGAAAAAAGUUGCAAGUUGGAUGGCAGUCUGCUUGUUGCUGGGCGCCGAAGUGGUCAGCUCUUAGGAAAAACGUGGGACAGGUGUGUUGACCUGAGAGGAAAGGCAUCCGUGAGUUACACGCUCGCUCAAAGUUUGACUUCAGCACCUUGCGAAUAACAGAAAGAA